UACGAGGGGUGCAAGCGUUGUUCGGAAUCACUGGGCGUAAAGGGAGCGUAGGCGGAACUCCAAGUCGGUCGUACAAUGCCAGGGCCUAACCCUGGACCUGCGGUCGAUACUGGGGCUCUUGAGUUAUUUAGAGGCAGGCGGAAUUCCAGGUGUAGCGGUGGAAUGCGUAGAGAUCUGGAAGAACACCAAUGGCGAAGGCAGCCUGCUGGGAAUUAACUGACGCUGAGGCUCGAAAGUGUGGGUAGCAAACAGG
This 253-nucleotide ribosomal RNA is filed under the name uncultured bacterium. Its description in RNAcentral is "partial 16S ribosomal RNA". It matches the Rfam family "Bacterial small subunit ribosomal RNA", at positions 524 to 776 of the family's 1533-position model. The record is from RNAcentral.